CCUACGGGAGGCAGCAGUCGAGAAUCAUUCACAAUGGGGGAAACCCUGAUGGUGCGACGCCGCGUGGGGGAAUGAAGGUCUUCGGAUUGUAAACCCCUGUCAUGUGGGAGCAAAUUAAAAAGAUCGUACCACAAGAGGCAGAGACGGCUAACUCUGUGCCAGCAGCCGCGGUAAUACAGAGGUCUCAAGCGUUGUUCGGAAUCACUGGGCGUAAGGCGUGCGUAGGCUGUUUCGUAAGUCGUGUGUGAAAGGCGCGGGCUCAACCCGCGGACGGCACAUGAUACUGCGAGACUAGAGUAAUGGAGGGGGAACCGGAAUUCUCGGUGUAGCAGUGAAAUGCGUAGAUAUCGAGAGGAACACUCGUGGCGAAGGCGGGUUCCUGGACAGUAACUGACGCUGAGGCACGAAGGCCAGGGGAGCGAAAGGGAUUAGAUACCCGAGUAGUC
RNAcentral lists this ribosomal RNA (446 nucleotides) under uncultured bacterium. Its description in RNAcentral is "partial 16S ribosomal RNA". It matches the Rfam family "Bacterial small subunit ribosomal RNA", at positions 338 to 795 of the family's 1533-position model. The record is from RNAcentral.